CAGUAAUACAUUGUUUCAAACUAAACUAACCAGAUCGAGUCCGUUUGAAACUGUCCUAGUAUAAAUGCAGCCUAAAGUUUUUUUUUUGUGCUUUUUUCUGUAUCCAUCUUCUCAGAAACAAUUGGGCCUCACGAUGUUGAGAAAUUUACAGCAGCAUUAGUCAAUCUCAGCAAUGCAAAUUCUCAACAGCAUUCAGACUGUGUUAAUACUCCGUGCCAGUUUCAGCACAGAGUAGAUAAACGGCAAAACAACAAUACUCCUAAAACACCUCACCUGGUAGAAUUAGCAAUAAAAGACGAUUUUGAAGAAGUGGACAAGCAUACUGGAGAAUUGAUAAUAGCAGAGACUGGGCAUCUGGAAUUGCAUCUGGACAAGAAGGU
Long non-coding RNA from Acipenser ruthenus (sterlet), 380 nucleotides. RefSeq lists it as uncharacterized. The transcript is spliced from 3 exons. The record is from RefSeq and is a predicted model, not a curated record. Lineage: Eukaryota; Metazoa; Chordata; Actinopteri; Acipenseriformes; Acipenseridae.